CGGCACAUAGGCGGAUGCGGCUCCCUAUAUACAACUCGGUCACCAUGGGGAUGGGCCGGGGCCUUUUCCUGUUGGUCCAGACCCCCAAUCUGCCCAGAGAAGCCAUGACAGGAGACUGGUGAUUGGUGCAAGCGACGUGGGAUGAGGUAAUCUCUCCCCCACCCCUUUUUCUCUAGCAUCCGUAGACUGUUUGCAUCCUUUAGACAAAGAGACCGUGCAGAAGCAGUCGGCCGAGCAUCCAUUAUGGGGCGGGGUUGGGGAGGGGCGGAAGGAGAAGAAAGGGGACUGGGGUUAGAAGACUUUCUGUUGCUUAAACCUCAAACUGCAGUUAAAAUUAUCUAUGUGAGGUUUUUUCCCCCUACCCUUAAUAACAAUUUAUGUUUAGAUUAAAUAUUUAAAGGAAAAUGACUGCCAGCCCCUCCCUCGUAGUAUAUUAAACUCGACUACAUUUUGUUAGGGUUCAACAUCUCUAAUUGCUUUAAACGUAAAGUGGGAGGGAAAAUCGGCAUGAUGCUCGAAAUGGCCUGGGUAUAUGUGAUUUUUUUAAUUUAAAAAAAGAUUUAGCCAUACGGUCAUUCCAAAUGGUUUCUCAGGUUCAACUAACUUAUUUUCAGAGCUUCUUCUGCAGGCACACGCACACCCGAAUAGCUAAACAAAACUGGAAGAUGGAAAGAAUAACCAUAUUAAAUAAAGAAGCGAACAAAUAGUUCUAACAUGGCAAUAAUCAAGAGCAAGUGAACGUAGAGUAGUUAUAAUGGUUUACUAGAGGUAUUCUUUUAUGAGAAGUCUAUGUAACACAUUUUGUAUGGUACAUUGUCCUUUGGAAUGAAUCAUCUUUCCUGAUAGAAAAUUGGGAAAAUACAAGGAGAAAUAAUUGAGCUCAGAAGUUAGUACUACAUGUGUGCAGUUACAUAUCUGAAUUGGACUUUUGUCUGGAAAGUAACAAGCAAAAUAAUAGUAAUAACCAAUACACCAAAUUAAAAAGAAGAAGAGAAUAAUAUAAUGUAAAAAGAAUUUUGCAAUGUCGCCUCCAUCCACAGACAACUGUGAAACAUCAGCUCAAUAAACGCAUUUCCUUUUUAUGUAGUUCUUAUGUCAAUUUGGUAAAUAUCCUCCUGCGAGUGGGCUUCUAACUGUGGGAAUUUUAGCCGGCCUCACACCCUUGCUGUUCAGCUAGAGACUCUGGUGGUUGCUCAGUUGUCCCUUGGGACAAAAAGGCUUUGCUUUCACCCCUAGGAAAUAAAUUGGAGUAAAAUUAUCUUGAUAUUUAGGAAGCCUCCAUUCUCAGCAACGAUCCGGAGUAAGUCACUGGACUUCGUACCACUGGAUGUUGGUGAUGAAAUUUCAGAGGUAAA
Molecule: long non-coding RNA, 1355 nt
Filed under: Homo sapiens (human)
Lineage: Eukaryota; Metazoa; Chordata; Mammalia; Primates; Hominidae
Description: non-protein coding lnc-PRPH-3:3
Source: RNAcentral